RNAcentral lists this ribosomal RNA (369 nucleotides) under uncultured bacterium. RNAcentral describes it as "bacterial SSU rRNA". It matches the Rfam family "Bacterial small subunit ribosomal RNA", at positions 28 to 399 of the family's 1533-position model. The record is from RNAcentral.
GACGAACGCUGGCGGCGUGCUUAACACAUGCAAGUGGGGCGACGAACCAGGCUUCGGCCUGGGGCAAAGCCGCGAACGGGUGAGUAACACGUGAGUAACCUGCCCUGGACUUUGGGAUAACCCUCGGAAACGGGGGCUAAUACCGAAUAUGACCUGACACUGCAUGGUGUUUGGUGGAAAGUUUUUCGGUCUGGAGUGGCUCGCGGCCUAUCAGCUUGUUGGUGAGGUAAUGGCUCACCAAGGCGACGACGGGUAGCCGGCCUGAGAGGGUGACCGGCCACACUGGGACUGAGACACGGCCCAGACUCCUACGGGAGGCAGCAGUGGGGAAUAUUGCACAAUGGGCGCAAGCCUGAUGCAGCGACGCCG